GUAGGUGGCAAGCGUCGUCCGGAAUUAUUGGGCGUAAAGCGCGCGCAGGCGGUUCUUUAAGUCUGAUGUGAAAGCCCACGGCUCAACCGUGGAGGGUCAUUGGAAACUGGAGAACUUGAGUACAGAAGAGGAAAGCGGAAUUCCACGUGUAGCGGUGAAAUGCGUAGAGAUGUGGAGGAACACCAGUGGCGAAGGCGGCUUUCUGGUCUGUAACUGACGCUGAGGCGCGAAAGCGUGGGGAGCAAACAGGGAUUAGAUACCCUGGUAGUCCACGCCGUAAACGAUGAGUGCUAAGUGUUAGGGGGGUUUCCGCCCCCUUAGUGCUGCAGCUAACGCAUUAAGCACUCCGCCUGGGGAGUACGGCCGCAAGGCUG
This 374-nucleotide ribosomal RNA is filed under the name uncultured organism. RNAcentral describes it as "partial 16S ribosomal RNA". It matches the Rfam family "Bacterial small subunit ribosomal RNA", at positions 527 to 896 of the family's 1533-position model. The record is from RNAcentral.